AUGCUCGCUUUUAUAGCAUAUAUACUAAAAUUUGUAAUAACACAGAGUAGAUUGACAUGGACCCCUACGCAAGGAUGACAGUAAAAUUUAUUAAGUGUUUUAUAUUUUA
Molecule: small nuclear RNA, 109 nt
Organism: Acomys russatus (golden spiny mouse)
Lineage: Eukaryota; Metazoa; Chordata; Mammalia; Rodentia; Muridae
Source: RefSeq, a predicted model, not a curated record